CCCGCCCGGGAUGCACAGUGUUCUUCACUACAACAGACCUUCAACACACGAGUGAUAAGACCCGUUUCUAACUACUUUCGAUCCAACAGGUUGAUUUUACCGUUGAAGACUUGACGUUUUUGGAACUUCGAGUACACCAUAAGACCAUUUUCUACGCAGCAGCUACCGGCAUUGGCUAUCACGAGGUUUAGCCGAAAUAAAAACUGGACAUCGCCAAAUAGCCCGUGGAGGCGAAAUUGCAGGUGUGAGCACAUCGCCCUGCCAAGGCUGGACCGUUUAUACGAAAUCGUGAUCUGCAUUAGGAAGCACGACGAAGUGUAAAUACAAUCCGGCCUUUUAUCAGACUAAUUUCAUAAUCUUAAAGAUUACAUUGUUCUCUCGGAAAAGGAUAAACAAAAAACCAUAUUUUUGGAAAAGGUCAAGAUCAACCCAAAAUACACCGUCUUCCUAACCUUUCAAUUAAUCCUAAAAAUUACCGGCAAUUUGUCAAGUUUUCUAGGCUUCCGGCUAUCUGAAUCAUCGGUCUUUUAAAUAAACGCAACCUCUGAAAAAUUUCAACGAUUCAAGUUAGCCGGAUAAUUUAUUACACAUGAUCCUUAAGUUUUUCCCAUAUGGGAAAAAGCUUUCAGCUUUUUCAUCAUCGAGACGUGUAACCGCAAGGACUUAAAGCUGAAGAAGAGGGUUUAUUCGCGACGUCAAACCGGAUUAUAAUUAUCUUCAUCGU
Molecule: long non-coding RNA, 724 nt
Organism: Cimex lectularius (bed bug)
Lineage: Eukaryota; Metazoa; Arthropoda; Insecta; Hemiptera; Cimicidae
Exons: 3
Source: RefSeq, a predicted model, not a curated record